Molecule: non-coding RNA, 413 nt
Organism: Porphyromonas gingivicanis
Lineage: Bacteria; Pseudomonadati; Bacteroidota; Bacteroidia; Bacteroidales; Porphyromonadaceae
Rfam family: transfer-messenger RNA
About the family: Bacterial tmRNA, also known as 10Sa RNA or SsrA, is named for its dual tRNA and mRNA-like properties. Its role is to liberate the mRNA from a stalled ribosome.
Source: Rfam
GGGGCUGACAUGGCUUUGACAGCGUGACGAAGGGGUAGGUAAGCAUGUAGUGAGUUGUUGCUCUCUCACUUUAAUCUCAAGCAUCGAAUUUUUUAGUUGGCGAAAAUAAUUACGCUCUCGCUGCCUAACCGAAGUAUAGUAAGUUAGCUUGCUUAAUCUGAGCCGAUAGGCUCGGACGAGACGUUGCCCAAGACUCUUGCUCCGAAGUUCCUUGAGUAAGGCAACGCACGUAUAUCGGGGUUCAGCACCACUCUUUCCAUGAGGUGGUUGUCUGAUUUAGAUCAUGGAAUAAGGGUAUCUCUUUGGUUGCCUUUCCCGUAGGAGUACCACGAAAAUUGUAAGCAAGGCUAAACAUGUAGAAAGCAUAUUCAUUCCGCGUUUGGACGAGGGUUCAAUCCCCUCCAGCUCCACAA